RNAcentral lists this transfer-messenger RNA (424 nucleotides) under bacterium. It matches the Rfam family "transfer-messenger RNA". Rfam says of the family: Bacterial tmRNA, also known as 10Sa RNA or SsrA, is named for its dual tRNA and mRNA-like properties. Its role is to liberate the mRNA from a stalled ribosome. The record is from RNAcentral.
GGGGACGUCAUGAUUAGACGUGUACGACAGCUCUUUAACAUCUGCAUACCGACUUUGACUAAGCAAGUCGUUAAAAAGAGUCAAACAAUAACUGUCAACAACAUCAAGACAGCCUGGAACAAAGUCGUCGCUUUUGUCGACAGACUCACUGCUCCAUCUUUUGCGCAAUUGGCUUUCAACCCAGUUGCCUAAAGACAUUCAUCAACUCACUUGCUUGUGGGUAGUUGAUGGGUGGAAAAACACAUAAGCCGUAGUCCUGACCCUUGUCCGGUCUAGAUCAAAUCCAAAAAGACAACCCUCCGCUAGUCUAUAGGUUAGCUUAUUUCCUAGACUUAAGUAGAGGUUAAAUCCAAAAUAAGCUAAGUAUGUAGAUGAUGUUAAAAGCCGUAUACGGACGAGGGUUCAUUGCCCUCCGUCUCCACAC